Molecule: non-coding RNA, 108 nt
Filed under: Clostridium sp. BL8
Lineage: Bacteria; Bacillati; Bacillota; Clostridia; Eubacteriales; Clostridiaceae
Description: Bacterial small subunit ribosomal RNA
Rfam family: Bacterial small subunit ribosomal RNA
Source: Rfam by way of RNAcentral
UAAAUUGAGAGUUUGAUCCUGGCUCAGGACGAACGCUGGCGGCGUGCCUAACACAUGCAAGUCGAGCGAUGAAGCCCUUCGGGGCGGAUUAGCGGCGGACGGGGUGAG